Molecule: ribosomal RNA, 254 nt
Filed under: uncultured bacterium
Lineage: Bacteria
Description: partial 16S ribosomal RNA
Rfam family: Bacterial small subunit ribosomal RNA
Source: RNAcentral
UACGUAGGGCGCAAGCGUUAUCCGGAAUUAUUGGGCGUAAAGAGCUCGUAGGCGGUCUGUCGCGUCGAUCGUGAAAACUUGGGGCUUAACCCUGAGCUUGCGGUCGAUACGGGCAUGACUGGAGUUCGGCAGGGGAGACUGGAAUUCCUGGUGUAGCGGUGAAAUGCGCAGAUAUCAGGAGGAACACCUGCGGUGUAGACGGCUUACUGGACGGUAACUGACGCUGAGGCACGAAAGCGUGGGUAGCAAACAGG